This 164-nucleotide ribosomal RNA is filed under the name Loxocarpus rufescens. RNAcentral's name for it is "5.8S ribosomal RNA". It matches the Rfam family "5.8S ribosomal RNA". Rfam says of the family: 5.8S ribosomal RNA (5.8S rRNA) is a component of the large subunit of the eukaryotic ribosome. It is transcribed by RNA polymerase I as part of the 45S precursor that also contains 18S and 28S rRNA. The record is from RNAcentral. Lineage: Eukaryota; Viridiplantae; Streptophyta; Magnoliopsida; Lamiales; Gesneriaceae.
AUAACGACUCUCGGCAACGGAUAUCUCGGCUCUCGCAUCGAUGAAGAACGUAGCGAAAUGCGAUACUUGGUGUGAAUUGCAGAAUCCCGUGAACCAUCGAGUCUUUGAACGCAAGUUGCGCCCAAAGCCAUCAGGCCGAGGGCACGUCUGCCUGGGUGUCACGC